GUAGGGAAUAUUGGGCAAUGGAUGCAAGUCUGACCCAGCCAUCCCGCGUGCCGGAAGAAGGCCCUCAGGGUUGUAAACGGCUUUUGACGGUGAAGAACCGACAGGAUGCGUCCUGUUUUGACGGUAGCCGUUGAAUAAGCACCGGCUAACUCCGUGCCAGCAGCCGCGGUACUACGGAGGGUGCGAGCGUUGUCCGGAUUUAUUGGGUUUAAAGGGUGCGUAGGCUGGAAGGUCAGUCAGCGGUGAAAAGCUAUCGCUUAACGAUAGUCUUGCCGCAGAUACUUCCUUUCUUGGAUGAGGAGGAGGCCACUGGAACGGAUGGUGUAGCGGUGAAAUGCAUAGAUAUCAUCCAGAACACCGAUUGCGAAGGCAGGUGGCUGUACCUUAAUCGACGCUGAUGCACGAAAGCAUGGGGAGCAAACAGGAUUAGAUACCCGGGUAGUCC
Molecule: ribosomal RNA, 445 nt
Filed under: uncultured bacterium
Lineage: Bacteria
Description: partial 16S ribosomal RNA
Rfam family: Bacterial small subunit ribosomal RNA
Source: RNAcentral